Long non-coding RNA from Xenia sp. Carnegie-2017, 163 nucleotides. RefSeq lists it as uncharacterized. The record is from RefSeq and is a predicted model, not a curated record. NCBI's taxonomy places the organism in Eukaryota, Metazoa, Cnidaria, Anthozoa, Malacalcyonacea, Xeniidae. The transcript has 2 exons.
GUACAGUGUCGAGCGUACGGACAGUGAAAGAACGCGAACUCUGGCAGUGGUACAAGAGAUGAAGAUCAAGAAGAAGAUAGAGGAGUACGUUAUUAUUUUUUCCUGUCCUAAUCUUAACUUGUUUUUAGAUUUUUCGUUUAGAUGAGGAGGAGGCUGAUGAAAA